This is a long non-coding RNA of Hydractinia symbiolongicarpus, 1602 nucleotides long. RefSeq lists it as uncharacterized. The transcript is spliced from 5 exons. Lineage: Eukaryota; Metazoa; Cnidaria; Hydrozoa; Anthoathecata; Hydractiniidae. The record is from RefSeq and is a predicted model, not a curated record.
UACGUUAUCAGCAUUAUAUACUUCAAAUGCAGUGAAAGAUAACAUAGAUGAAUUCUAUUCUUUGGUUGCCGCCCUUGUUGUUAUUUCAAUAGUAAUCUAUUGAAAAUUAAAAAGUUAGUGUCAGCCUAUGAAAGUGUUAGACGUGUCAGAGAAGGGAGUGUUGUUCAGAACGGAAUCGACACAAACGGUUAGACGUGUUUACAGCUAGACGAAAUCAAGUCAAGAUUUCUUUUAACUUGUUUUUCAAUUUAAGACAACAACAACAACAACAGCAAACUUCAUUCAAGAUGAAAGCAAUUGUGCUAGCUCUACUAGUUAUUAUUUUGGCGUUAAAUGACGGCAUAGAUGGUCAAGCAACAUCAUCGACAACAAUGGAAUCAUCAACAGCAUCAACAACACCAACAACACCAACAACAACAACAACAACAACAACUACAACAACGAUGAAAACAAACGGCACUGUAAAUUCAGCAUGGUCACCAGUUUCAUCCAGAUAUCACGUCUUGUUCGCUUCAGCAGCAGCAUAUUUAUUCUAUCUUACAAUUUAAUGAAAACUUUGCAAUAUGUUACUACACUGCACGAAAUCCUCCAUGCACGAUAAUAUGUUUACUGAAAAAUUUUGAAUCAACAAUAAGCAGUGUUUUGUUGUUGUUUUGAUGAAAAAGUUAUAUUUUAAUGCUAGACCGAGGAUGGUUAUUUUCAAACGAACCUUUACAGUUUUUUUGCACGAUUUUUAGGGGAUCUAAUGAUAUGGUAAAAUUUAAGAAUUGUCUUUUACCUGUGAUACAAAAUAAAUUCAUUAUACAAAAAUAUUGCUUUUCCCUGUUUUGAAACAUGUUAUUCUAGAAAUUAAAAAUAAAUAUAUUUGGUUUACUCAUCUCCUUUUUUGUGAACUUUUUAAGAAUUUUUAGAUCUAAAACGUCUUCUUCAUUGUAUUUUGUAUGAAGAUGUAACCUUUUUGUAAAUGCGUAUGGAAAAAAAAUAUUGAACCAUAAUAUUACUGCACUUCUUCAUUUAUCAACAUGCAAAAUAAAAUGAACAUGCAACAUGUUAAAUUUAUUUUGUUCAGACACUUGCAUAUAGCUUUUAAUUAAAUUUAAAUCUCCAUGAUAAACAUGUUUUGAGUAACCGCUAUAAUGGCAGCUUAGUUCAUUAUAAUUCUCCAAGGCAGCAAUUAAUGUUAGUUGUAAAUUAAUUUGAAAAUUACUACACAUUAGUCUUGGUGAAGCAUAAACAACCAUGAAUCGGUGAUGAAACAGAUGUGUUUGAAAUAUUCUCUGAUUUGUCAGCUUAAAGAUUUCUUGCGUGGUUUUACCGACCCCCUUCGACCAACAAAGAAGCAACCUGUACUAUCUUUGUUUAAGAAACUGGCUUUUUGUGGCACUGGCACAGCCACUUGUGACGAAAAUAACGGCAGAAAAGGGGAUAAAUUCAGGUGAUAAAGCAGGGACGUCAAAGUACCAACAACGUAUCAAAUGAAAAAUGGAUUGAAUACGUUAGUAGAUUUAUUCUAUUUGCGAGGGAAUACAGAUCUGAGGUGGGAAAACUGGAAUUACUUGAGUUUGAAAAGAUUAAUGCAGGUGAUGGUAAAGUUAAUGACAC